Molecule: regulatory RNA element, 39 nt
Organism: Erwinia sp. Leaf53
Lineage: Bacteria; Pseudomonadati; Pseudomonadota; Gammaproteobacteria; Enterobacterales; Erwiniaceae
Rfam family: JUMPstart RNA
Source: Rfam
CAGUGGACUGGUAGCUGUUGAGCCUGGGGCGGUAGCCUG